Pseudophryne corroboree (corroboree frog) is the source of this 578-nucleotide long non-coding RNA. RefSeq lists it as uncharacterized. The record is from RefSeq and is a predicted model, not a curated record. The transcript has 2 exons. NCBI's taxonomy places the organism in Eukaryota, Metazoa, Chordata, Amphibia, Anura, Myobatrachidae.
UAACUAUCUGUGCAGAGUUCUCCUGUGCUCAGACCUGAGAGGAUGCACAUUCUGCAGGUGCUCUGUGCCUUGUGGUGCCUGCGCUCAGUGUGUCUGGCUGCCGAUGUUAUCCAGGAGCCGACGUUCCAGUUGCUGUAUCCGGGGAACGCCGUGUCUCUGUCUUGUGUGCACGCCGAUUCCAGUUAUUAUAAUAAAUAUUGGUAUUAUCAUAAGAAGGGAGAAGCUCUGGCCCUCAUUGGAUACACAACUAGCGGCUCUGACCCCAUUAUGGAGAACCAGUUCACGGAUGGAAGAAUAAUUAUCCAGUCAAUAACUACUCAGAAAAGCCUCUUAAACAUCUCCAGAAUUUCUGCCCAAGACAGUGCAGUAUAUUACUGUGCUAGCAGCAUCCACAGUGAGAGAACAGCUGCUAGAGACUGUGCAAAUCUCACAGCCCUCCCUGCUACAUCACACAGCUGGGGGAGCAGCACUGAAAGACAGUCAUAUAGCAAUAUCUUCCCUUCCUAUUCUUAUAAUGUCACUGCCCCUGUCACAUGCAGUCCGUGUCGGACUGGGUCAUGAAGGGCCCACCGGGGAAA